AUGAGGAGAAAUUACCGACCGUCCGUCCCUAAAGCAAGUGACAAAGGACUUGAUGGUUGGUAUCCGAGAUCCAAGUUCGAAUUUUAGUUGAUUCACAUUUCUAACUAAAUUUAUUUAUAAAUGAAAUAAACGAAGCGGAUAGCGUGCUACCUAUCUCUCAAAAAAAAAUAAUAAUAAUGAGGAGAAAUUUCAGAGAUACAAGUGUUUUAUUAGU
RNAcentral lists this long non-coding RNA (214 nucleotides) under Ananas comosus (pineapple). RNAcentral's name for it is "long non-coding RNA (ACOM_LNC004729)". The record is from RNAcentral. Lineage: Eukaryota; Viridiplantae; Streptophyta; Magnoliopsida; Poales; Bromeliaceae.